This is a small nuclear RNA of Panthera pardus (leopard), 103 nucleotides long. The record is from Ensembl. Lineage: Eukaryota; Metazoa; Chordata; Mammalia; Carnivora; Felidae.
UUGCUUUGGCAGCAUAUAUACUAAUAUUGGAACAAUACAGAGAAGAUUAGCAUGGCCCCUACACAAGGAUGACACACAAAUUCAUGAAGUGUUCCAUAUUUUU